Molecule: long non-coding RNA, 356 nt
Filed under: Solanum tuberosum (potato)
Lineage: Eukaryota; Viridiplantae; Streptophyta; Magnoliopsida; Solanales; Solanaceae
Description: long non-coding RNA (STUB_LNC010589)
Source: RNAcentral
AGUUGUUUGUUUUUCGGAGCUCAUCUAAAUCUGCUCACAGUGGUGGAAGUUCUUGGUGGUUAAGCUCGUCGUCCUAGUCUCGCUGCUCCGAAGAAGGUAACAUCCCUUUUCCAAUUUUAGAUUUCUUUGUCGUGGGCCAGGAAUCGCUUAGUUCAUGGCUUGAUAUUGUGAUCUUGUUGCUCAAUUGAUGUGACGACUGUUCAUUUCUUGAUCAUUGGAAAUCAUUCAGAUGUUAGAAUUCUGAGAGUGUUGACGACAAGUCGGUGGUAUGACUUGCUUGAUAUUCAUGUUGUUUGCUUGAUCUUUGUUUCCUUGAAGUCUUAAUGAUUUUGUUCGGUCUCGAGUUUGUUUCUCCU